AACGAACGCUGGCGGCAGGCCUAACACAUGCAAGUCGAGCGCCCUUUCGGGGGAGCGGCGGACGGGUGAGUAACGCGUGGGAAUAUGCCCUUCUCUACGGAAUAGCCUCGGGAAACUGAGAGUAAUACCGUAUACGCCCUGUGGGGGAAAGAUUUAUCGGGGAAGGAUUAGCCCGCGUUGGAUUAGGUAGUUGGUGGGGUAAUGGCCUACCAAGCCGACGAUCCAUAGCUGGUUUGAGAGGAUGAUCAGCCACACUGGGACUGAGACACGGCCCAGACUCCUACGGGAGGCAGCAGUGGGGAAUCUUAGACAAUGGGGGCAACCCUGAUCUAGCCAUGCCGCGUGAGUGAUGAAGGCCUUAGGGUUGUAAGGCUCUUUCAGCUGGGAAGAUAAUGACGGUACCAGCAGAAGAAGCCCCGGCUAACUCCGUG
RNAcentral lists this ribosomal RNA (431 nucleotides) under uncultured bacterium. Its description in RNAcentral is "partial 16S ribosomal RNA". It matches the Rfam family "Bacterial small subunit ribosomal RNA", at positions 29 to 507 of the family's 1533-position model. The record is from RNAcentral.